RNAcentral lists this ribosomal RNA (506 nucleotides) under uncultured bacterium. RNAcentral's name for it is "partial 16S ribosomal RNA". It matches the Rfam family "Bacterial small subunit ribosomal RNA", at positions 29 to 523 of the family's 1533-position model. The record is from RNAcentral.
AGUGAACGCUGGCGGUAGGCCUAACACAUGCAAGUCGAACGGCAGCACAGGAGAGCUUGCUCUCUGGGUGGCGAGUGGCGGACGGGUGAGGAAUACAUCGGAAUCUACUCUGUCGUGGGGGAUAACGUAGGGAAACUUACGCUAAUACCGCAUACGACCUACGGGUGAAAGCAGGGGACCUUCGGGCCUUGCGCGAUUGAAUGAGCCGAUGUCGGAUUAGCUAGUUGGCGGGGUAAAGGCCCACCAAGGCGACGAUCCGUAGCUGGUCUGAGAGGAUGAUCAGCCACACUGGAACGGAGACACGGUCCAGACUCCUACGGGAGGCAGCAGUGGGGAAUAUUGGACAAUGGGCGCAAGCCUGAUCCAGCCAUACCGCGUGGGUGAAGAAGGCCUUCGGGUUGUAAAGCCCUUUUGUUGGGAAAGAAAUCCAGCUGGCUAAUACCCGGUUGGGAUGACGGUACCCAAGGAAUAAGCACCGGCUAACUUCGUGCCAGCAGCCGCCGUAA